RNAcentral lists this ribosomal RNA (730 nucleotides) under uncultured bacterium. Its description in RNAcentral is "bacterial SSU rRNA". It matches the Rfam family "Bacterial small subunit ribosomal RNA", at positions 771 to 1500 of the family's 1533-position model. The record is from RNAcentral.
AACAGGAUUAGAUACCCUGGGUAGUCCACGCCGUAAACGAUGUCGACUUGGAGGUUGUUCCCUUGAGGAGUGGCUUCUGGAGCUAACGCGUUAAGUCGACCGCCUGGGGAGUACGGCCGCAAGGUUAAAACUCAAAUGAAUUGACGGGGGCCCGCACAAGCGGUGGAGCAUGUGGUUUAAUUCGAUGCAACGCGAAGAACCUUACCUACUCUUGACAUCCAGCGAACUUGGCAGAGAUGCCUUGGUGCCUUCGGGAACGCUGAGACAGGUGCUGCAUGGCUGUCGUCAGCUCGUGUUGUGAAAUGUUGGGUUAAGUCCCGCAACGAGCGCAACCCUUAUCCUUUGUUGCCAGCGAUUCGGUCGGGAACUCAAAGGAGACUGCCGGUGAUAAACCGGAGGAAGGUGGGGAUGACGUCAAGUCAUCAUGGCCCUUACGAGUAGGGCUACACACGUGCUACAAUGGCGCAUACAAAGAGAAGCGACCUCGCGAGAGCAAGCGGACCUCAUAAAGUGCGUCGUAGUCCGGAUCGGAGUCUGCAACUCGACUCCGUGAAGUCGGAAUCGCUAGUAAUCGUGGAUCAGAAUGCCACGGUGAAUACGUUCCCGGGCCUUGUACACACCGCCCGUCACACCAUGGGAGUGGGUUGCAAAAGAAGUAGGUAGCUUAACCCUCGGGAGGGCGCUUACCACUUUGUGAUUCAUGACUGGGGUGAAGUCGUAACAAGGUAAC